This is a long non-coding RNA of Equus asinus (donkey), 2106 nucleotides long. Lineage: Eukaryota; Metazoa; Chordata; Mammalia; Perissodactyla; Equidae. The record is from Ensembl.
AACAUCCCUCCUCCUGCAAUGUGUGAGAAUUGCCCUCUAAGGCCCAUACCCAAAAUGGCAUCUCUGGGCAUGUCUUCUCUGUUCCUUUAGUUUCAACUGUUCAUGUCAUGUUUUAGUUGGGUCUCUUAUAAAUAGUAUAUAUGAUUGGGGUGUGUGUCUGUUUAAAUGCAAUUUGAGAAUCUUUCUCUUUUAACUGGCAAAAUAAUGUGUUUACAGUAAUUGCAAUUGAUAAUAUAUUUUGAUUUGUUUCUAUCAUCUCAUUUGGUGUUUCUCUGCUGACCAUGUUCUUUAUUUCUCUUUUUCUCAUCGUCUUCCAUUGGUUUAAUCAAGCUUUUUCUUUCUUCCCCUCCCCUCUACCCGUUCGGCAGUUCUACAUUCAAAUUCUACUCUUUUAGAGAUAAUCUUUAAAUCUUUAAAACGCACACUCUAUUUAGUGAAGCCUAUGUUUAAUCAACAUUUACAUGCAGUCACCAAACAGUGUAAGAGCCUCAGAAGGCAGUAACUCUGAUCUCUACUCCUUUCCUUCACAUUGCUGUAACUAAGUAGUUUCCCCACUUAGAGAGUAGUUUUAACACUCCCACUAGUCAUGGUCCUUGUUAUUGUUGUAGCUGAAUAUUUAGUUCUACUCAUAUGUUCACCUUCGUUUUUCUCAUCAUUGCUUUCAUAUCCCACUCCUUCCUUCUUGGUUCAAUUUCCCUCUUUCAGAAACACAUCCUUUAGUCGUUCUUCUGUCAGAGUUUGCAGAUGGUAAAUUCAGUCUUUUUGUAAAAUAUCUUUAUUUUGCUCUCAUCCUCAAAUGAUGAUUUAGAUGGGCACUGAAUUCUAGGUAGCACCUAUUUUCUCCCAGUCCUUGGAAUGUAUUUUUCUGAUGUCAGUCUAAUUGUCUUUCUUUUGCAGGUAAUGUAUCUUGUCUCCUUAGCCGCUUUUCUUCUGUUAAAGGAUUUUAUUUUAAGGCAUUCCAUUAUCGAGGUACUUCUUGACAGUGAAGAAGGAGGCCAAGCUUGGGAGUCAUGGCUCUGGGUUCAAUGUAACUUCUCCACUUACAAGAGACCCAUCUAUUCUACGCAUUGGGCCACAGCCCCUUAAAGGGGGUGCCUGGGAUGGACAGAUGAUGAGCGUGCAUACGUCUCAAGAGCAUUUACAGAGCAAGGAGCAGCAAUACCUUAACCGGUGCACUGACUAUUGGCCUCAUCAUUUUGGGAAAGCUCCUCUGUGAACAAAAUGGACAGUCCCUAGUCAGCUGGGAUUGUCAGGAAUUCCAGGCCGUGUGUGGUUACGGAAGGCCAUGGGGUCUUGAGAGAGGAAACUGACACACUGACCUCCAUUCUGAUGAGCCCCUAGGAACCUAGAGGCGCCUCCUCUCCACUCCUCCAAGUGAGCCUAUUGCUGCAAUCCCAGGACACUGUCCAGGUGGGCCACUGAGCCGUGCGGGGAGAGAGGGGCACUCGGCAGCAGAGCCUCUCGCAGCCCUGGCUUCUCAUACGGACUGUCACCCACCUCUGCCCCUGUCCAAUCUGUAUUUCCAGAUCAUCUCUUGUGGGAACAGCUGUACUUUCCUCAACCUGAGGAAAUUGCUAAACUCUGGGCCACUUAAGGGAGAACUGAGAGACAGAGGUGCCAGCACUGCCCCUGAUGCAUACAAGCAUCUGAUAAACACCUAUGAAGUGAACGACUACUCCUGGCCUGCAAUCAGUAGCCUAUUGCACUCUCGGUCUAUGAGCUUCUUUCAUUCCAGCUCCAUGUACAGCUCCCUCAGGCACAUGACAGACCCCAAAGAAAUGUCAGUGAGUUGUAAUGUGGGUCUUAGAUGCUGGCCUGCACAUGACUGACCACCACCUCCCUCCCCGCCAGCCCCAGGCCUUCUGGAUAUUUUUGUAGGGUACUUACCAGUCUGGGCACAGCUAAGAUCUUCCUUUACCCAGUAACCCUGCUAUUGGCAGACAGGUGUGAAAAGAACAGAAAGCAGACCUCACGGUCUGCUGAUCUAAUUACUGCUGUUCAGAGCAGCUGAGUUUUGGUCUGAAACGCUCCUAAUGGCAGGUCUGUCUGUGGAACAAGAGCAGACACUGUGAGCUUUAAAUAGGGGGUUGACAGGCCACGGCUGAC